RNAcentral lists this ribosomal RNA (282 nucleotides) under uncultured Latescibacterota bacterium. RNAcentral describes it as "uncultured Latescibacteria bacterium partial 16S ribosomal RNA". It matches the Rfam family "Bacterial small subunit ribosomal RNA", at positions 1100 to 1382 of the family's 1533-position model. The record is from RNAcentral. Lineage: Bacteria; Pseudomonadati; Candidatus Latescibacterota.
AACCCUUAUCCCCAGUUGCCAUCAGGUAAAGCUGGGAACUCUGGGGAGACUGCCGGUGAUAAACCGGAGGAAGCGGGGAUGACGUCAAGUCCUCAUGGCCCUUACAUCCCGGGCUACACACGUGCUACAAUGGCAGGUACAGAGGGCUGCGAAGCCGCGAGGUGGAGCGAAUCCCAGAAAACCUGUCUCAGUCCGGAUUGAAGUCUGCAACUCGACUUCAUGAAGGCGGAAUCGCUAGUAACCGCGAAUCAGCAGGUCGCGGUGAAUACGUUCCCGGGCCUU